CGCAGGUGAUGCGAGGUUGCAGUCCUAGGUGAUGGUGAGGACUCCCACCCACCAAGAUCGCUGAUGCA
RNAcentral lists this small nucleolar RNA (68 nucleotides) under Castor canadensis (American beaver). RNAcentral describes it as "Small nucleolar RNA SNORD24 (ENSCCNG00000018571.1)". The record is from RNAcentral. Lineage: Eukaryota; Metazoa; Chordata; Mammalia; Rodentia; Castoridae.